This 447-nucleotide ribosomal RNA is filed under the name uncultured bacterium. RNAcentral describes it as "bacterial SSU rRNA". It matches the Rfam family "Bacterial small subunit ribosomal RNA", at positions 333 to 795 of the family's 1533-position model. The record is from RNAcentral.
AGACUUCUACGGGAGGCAGCAGUGGGGAAUCUUGCGCAAUGGGCGAAAGCCUGACGCAGCAACGCCGCGUGCGGGAUGAAGGCCUUCGGGUUGUAAACCGCUUUCAGUGGGGACGAAACAAGACGGUACCCACAGAAGAAGCCCCGGCCAACUACGUGCCAGCAGCCGCGGUAACACGUAGGGGGCAAGCGUUGUCCGGAUUUAUUGGGCGUAAAGAGCUCGUAGGUGGUUCGAUAAGUCGGGUGUGAAACCUCCAGGCUCAACCUGGAGACGCCACCCGAUACUGUCGUGACUAGAGUCCAGUAGGGGAGCGUGGAAUUCCUGGUGUAGCGGUGAAAUGCGCAGAUAUCAGGAGGAACACCAGCGGCGAAGGCGGCGCUCUGGGCUGGCACUGACACUGAGGAGCGAAAGCGUGGGGAGCGAACAGGAUUAGAUACCCCCGUAGUC